UGGGGAAUUUUGGACAAUGGGCGAAAGCCUGAUCCAGCAAUGCCGCGUGUGUGAAGAAGGCCUUCGGGUUGUAAAGCACUUUUGUCCGGAAAGAAAUCCUCUGGGUUAAUACCUCGGGGGGAUGACGGUACCGGAAGAAUAAGCACCGGCUAACUACGUGCCAGCAGCCGCGGUAAUACGUAGGGUGCAAGCGUUAAUCGGAAUUACUGGGCGUAAAGCGUGCGCAGGCGGUUUGCUAAGACCGAUGUGAAAUCCCCGGGCUCAACCUGGGAACUGCAUUGGUGACUGGCAGGCUAGAGUAUGGCAGAGGGGGGUAGAAUUCCACGUGUAGCAGUGAAAGUGCGUAGAGAUGUGGAGGAAUACCGAUGGCGAAGGCAGCCCCCUGGGCCAAAUACUGACGCUCAUGCACGAAAGCGUGGGGAGCAAACAGGAUUAGAUACCCUGGGUAGUCCACGCCCUAAACGAUGUCAACUAGUUGUUGGGGACUUCAUUUCCUUAGUAACGUAGCUAACGCGUGAAGUUGACCGCCUGGGGAGUACGGUCGCAAGAUUAAAACUCAAAGGAAUUGACGGGGUCAUA
Molecule: ribosomal RNA, 579 nt
Filed under: uncultured bacterium
Lineage: Bacteria
Description: partial 16S ribosomal RNA
Rfam family: Bacterial small subunit ribosomal RNA
Source: RNAcentral